This 645-nucleotide ribosomal RNA is filed under the name uncultured bacterium. RNAcentral's name for it is "bacterial SSU rRNA". It matches the Rfam family "Bacterial small subunit ribosomal RNA", at positions 143 to 807 of the family's 1533-position model. The record is from RNAcentral.
AUAACAUACCGAAAGGUAUGCUAAUACGAGAUAAUAUACUUUUAUCGCAUGGUAGAAGUAUCAAAGCUCCGGCGGUACAGGAUGGACCCGCGUCUGAUUAGCUAGUUGGUAAGGUAACGGCUUACCAAGGCGACGAUCAGUAGCCGACCUGAGAGGGUGAUCGGCCACAUUGGAACUGAGACACGGUCCAAACUCCUACGGGAGGCAGCAGUGGGGAAUAUUGCACAAUGGGCGAAAGCCUGAUGCAGCAACGCCGCGUGAGCGAUGAAGGCCUUCGGGUCGUAAAGCUCUGUCCUCAAGGAAGAUAAUGACGGUACUUGAGGAGGAAGCCCCGGCUAACUACGUGCCAGCAGCCGCGGUAAUACGUAGGGGGCUAGCGUUAUCCGGAAUUACUGGGCGUAAAGGGUGCGUAGGUGGUUUCUUAAGUCAGAGGUGAAAGGCUACGGCUCAACCGUAGUAAGCCUUUGAAACUGGGAAACUUGAGUGCAGGAGAGGAGAGUGGAAUUCCUAGUGUAGCGGUGAAAUGCGUAGAUAUUAGGAGGAACACCAGUUGCGAAGGCGGCUCUCUGGACUGUAACUGACACUGAGGCACGAAAGCGUGGGGAGCAAACAGGAUUAGAUACCCUGGUAGUCCACGCCGUAAAC